RNAcentral lists this ribosomal RNA (466 nucleotides) under uncultured bacterium. RNAcentral describes it as "partial 16S ribosomal RNA". It matches the Rfam family "Bacterial small subunit ribosomal RNA", at positions 28 to 507 of the family's 1533-position model. The record is from RNAcentral.
GAUGAACGCUGGCGGCGUGCUUAACACAUGCAAGUCGAACGGAAAGGCUCCUGCCUGCAGGGGUACUCGAGUGGCGAACGGGUGAGUAACACGUGGGUGAUCUGCCCUGUACUUCGGGAUAAGCUUUGGAAACUGGGUCUAAUACCGGAUAUGACAAUCUCUUGGAUGGGGUUGUGGAAAGCUUUUGCGGUAUGGGAUGAGCUCGCGGCCUAUCAGCUUGUUGGUGGGGUAAUGGCCUACCAAGGCGUCGACGGGUAGCCGGCCUGAGAGGGUGUACGGCCACAUUGGGACUGCGAUACGGACCAGACUCCUACGGGAGGCAGCAGUGGGGAAUAUUGCACAAUGGGCGCAAGCCUGAUGCAGCGACGCCGCGUGGGGGAUGACGGCCUUCGGGUUGUAAACUCCUUUCGCAACCGACGAAGCUUUUGUGACGGUAGGUUGAGAAGAAGCACCGGCUAACUACGUG